This 510-nucleotide ribosomal RNA is filed under the name uncultured bacterium. RNAcentral's name for it is "bacterial SSU rRNA". It matches the Rfam family "Bacterial small subunit ribosomal RNA", at positions 8 to 518 of the family's 1533-position model. The record is from RNAcentral.
AGAGUUGAUAUGGCUCAGGAUGAACGCUAGCUACAGGCUAACACAUGCAAGUCGAGGGUAGCAGGGUAGCAAUACCGCUGACGACCGGCGCACGGGUGAGUAACACGUAUCCAACCUUCCCAUAACUCAGGGAUAGCCUUUCGAAAGAAAGAUUAAUACCUGAUAGUACUUUUUCAAGGCAUCUUGAGAAAGUUAAAGAUUUAUUGGUUAUGGAUGGGGAUGCGUUCCAUUAGAUAGUUGGUGAGGUAACGGCUCACCAAGUCUUCGAUGGAUAGGGGUUCUGAGAGGAAGGUCCCCCACAUUGGUACUGAGACAUGGACCAAACUCCUACGGGAGGCAGCAGUGAGGAAUAUUGGUCAAUGGGCGAGAGCCUGAACCAGCCAAGUAGCGUGAAGGAAUGAAGGUCCUAUGGAUUGUAAACUUCUUUUAUAGUAGAAUAAAGUGAUCCACGUGUGGAUUUUUGUAUGUAUACUAUGAAUAAGGAUCGGCUAACUCCGUGCCAGCCGCGGC